Molecule: ribosomal RNA, 403 nt
Filed under: uncultured bacterium
Lineage: Bacteria
Description: bacterial SSU rRNA
Rfam family: Bacterial small subunit ribosomal RNA
Source: RNAcentral
UAGGGAAUAUUAGUAAUGGGCGAAAGCCUGAACUAGCAACGCCGCGUGUGCGAAGAAGGCCUUCGGGUUGUAAAGCACUUUUUGAGAGGAUGAGGAAGGACGGUACUCUCAGAAUAAGUCUCGGCGAACUACGUGCCAGCAGCCGCGGUAACACGUAGGAGGCGAACGUUAUCCGGAUUUACUGGGCGUAAAGCGCGUGUAGGUGGUUUGGUAAGUAGGGCGUGAAAGCUCCUGGCUCAACUGGGAGAGGCCGUUCUAAACUGCCGAACUAGAGGAUGGUAGAGGGAGGUGGAAUUCCGGGUGUAGCGGUGGAAUGCGCAGAUAUCAGGAGGAACACCAGUGGCGACAGCGGCCUCCUGGACCAUUCCUGACACUCAGACGCGAAAGCUAGGGUAGCAAACGG